AUUGAACGCUGGCGGCAUGCUUUACACAUGCAAGUCGGACGGCAGCACAGAGAAGCUUGCUUCUUGGGUGGCGAGUGGCGAACGGGUGAGUAAUAUAUCGGAACGUACCGAGUAAUGGGGGAUAACUAAUCGAAAGAUUAGCUAAUACCGCAUAUUCUCUGAGGAGGAAAGCAGGGGACCUUCGGGCCUUGCGUUAUUCGAGCGGCCGAUAUCUGAUUAGCUAGUUGGUGGGGUAAAGGCCUACCAAGGCGACGAUCAGUAGCGGGUCUGAGAGGAUGAUCCGCCACACUGGGACUGAGACACGGCCCAGACUCCUACGGGAGGCAGCAGUGGGGAAUUUUGGACAAUGGGCGCAAGCCUGAUCCAGCCAUGCCGCGUGUCUGAAGAAGGCCUUCGGGUUGUAAAGGACUUUUGUCAGGGAAGAAAAGGCUGUUGCUAAUAGCGACAGCUGAUGACGGUACCUGAAGAAUAAGCACCGGCUAACUACGU
Molecule: ribosomal RNA, 489 nt
Filed under: uncultured bacterium
Lineage: Bacteria
Description: partial 16S ribosomal RNA
Rfam family: Bacterial small subunit ribosomal RNA
Source: RNAcentral